Molecule: ribosomal RNA, 464 nt
Filed under: uncultured bacterium
Lineage: Bacteria
Description: partial 16S ribosomal RNA
Rfam family: Bacterial small subunit ribosomal RNA
Source: RNAcentral
ACGAACGCUGGCGGCGUGCUUAACCCCUGCCAGUCGUACGGUAAGGCCCUUUCGGGGGUACACGAGUGGCGAACGGGUGAGUAACACGUGAGUAACCUGCCCACAACUUUGGGAUAACGCUAGGAAACUGGUGCUAAUACUGGAUAUGUGCUCCUGCUGCAUGGUGGGGGUUGGAAAGCUCCGGCGGUUGUGGAUGGACUCGCGGCCUAUCAGCUUGUUGGUGGGGUAGUGGCCUACCAAGGCGGCGACGGGUAGCCGGCCUGAGAGGGUGACCGGCCACAUUGGGACUGAGAUACGGCCCAGACUCCUACGGGAGGCAGCAGUGGGGAAUAUUGCACAAUGGGCGCAAGCCUGAUGCAGCAACGCCGCGUGCGGGAUGACGGCCUUCGGGUUGUAAACCGCGUUCAGCAGGGACGAAGCUUUUUGUGACGGUACCUGCAGAAGAAGCACCGGCUAACUACGUG